This 243-nucleotide ribosomal RNA is filed under the name Salmonella enterica subsp. enterica serovar Typhimurium. RNAcentral describes it as "partial 23S ribosomal RNA". It matches the Rfam family "Bacterial large subunit ribosomal RNA", at positions 517 to 658 of the family's 2925-position model. Lineage: Bacteria; Pseudomonadati; Pseudomonadota; Gammaproteobacteria; Enterobacterales; Enterobacteriaceae. The record is from RNAcentral.
AAAAGAACCCCGGCGAGGGGAGUGAAAAAGAACCUGAAACCGUGUACGUACAAGCAGUGGGAGCCCCACCACUAAGCCAGUGGUGAACUCCACAUCCGCAUCCUUUGCUGAGGAUACGGUUAACGGAGCGAAAGCGACGUUCAACCGCAAAACAAGCAGAGGGGGCUUAGUGGUGGGGUGACUGCGUACCUUUUGUAUAAUGGGUCAGCGACUUAUAUUCUGUAGCAAGGUUAACCGAAUAGG